Molecule: ribosomal RNA, 460 nt
Filed under: uncultured bacterium
Lineage: Bacteria
Description: partial 16S ribosomal RNA
Rfam family: Bacterial small subunit ribosomal RNA
Source: RNAcentral
CCUACGGGUGGCAGCAGUGAGGAAUAUUGGUCAAUGGACGAGAGUCUGAACCAGCCAAGUAGCGUGAAGGAUGACUGCCCUAUGGGUUGUAAACUUCUUUUAUAAAGGAAUAAAACGAGGCACGUGUGCCUUUUUGCAUGUACUUUAUGAAUAAGGAUCGGCUAACUCCGUGCCAGCAGCCGCGGUAAUACGGAGGAUCCGAGCGUUAUCCGGAUUUAUUGGGUUUAAAGGGAGCGUAGAUGGGUUGUUACGUCAGUUGUGAAAUUUUGCGGCUCAACCGUAAAAUUGCAAUUGAUACUGGCAGUCUUGAGUACAGUUGAGGUAGGCGGAAUUCGUGGUGUAGCGGUGAAAUGCUUAGAUAUCACGAAGAACCCCGAUUGCGAAGGCAGCUUACUAAACUGUGACUGACAUUGAUGCUCGAAAGUGUGGGUAUCAAACAGGAUUAGAUACCCCUGUAGUC